RNAcentral lists this ribosomal RNA (253 nucleotides) under uncultured bacterium. Its description in RNAcentral is "partial 16S ribosomal RNA". It matches the Rfam family "Bacterial small subunit ribosomal RNA", at positions 524 to 776 of the family's 1533-position model. The record is from RNAcentral.
UACGUAGGGUGCAAGCGUUGUCCGGAAUUAUUGGGCGUAAAGAGCUCGUAGGCGGUUUGUUGCGUCGGCUGUGAAAUCCCGAGGCUCAACCUCGGGUCUGCAGUCGAUACGAGCAAACUAGAGUGUUGCAGGGGAGACUGGAAUUCCUGGUGUAGCGGUGAAAUGCGCAGAUAUCAGGAGGAACACCGGUGGCGAAGGCGGGUCUCUGGGCCGAUACUGACGCUGAGGAGCGAGAGCGUGGGGAGCGAACAGG